AGAUUAAGUUAUUAAGGGCGCACGGUGGAUGCCUUGGCACUAGAAGCCGAUGAAGGACGUUACUAACGACGAUAUGCUUUGGGGAGCUGUAAGUAAGCUUUGAUCCAGAGAUUUCCGAAUGGGGAAACCCAGCAUGAGUUAUGUCAUGUUAUCGAUAUGUGAAUACAUAGCAUAUCAGAAGGCACACCCGGAGAACUGAAACAUCUUAGUACCCGGAGGAAGAGAAAGAAAAUUCGAUUCCCUUAGUAGCGGCGAGCGAAACGGGAAGAGCCCAAACCAACAAGCUUGCUUGUUGGGGUUGUAGGACACUCUAUACGGAGUUACAAAGGACGACAUUAGACGAAUCAUCUGGAAAGAUGAAUCAAAGAAGGUAAUAAUCCUGUAGUCGAAAAUGUUGUCUCUCUUGAGUGGAUCCUGAGUACGACGGAGCACGUGAAAUUCCGUCGGAAUCUGGGAGGACCAUCUCCUAAGGCUAAAUACUCUCUAGUGACCGAUAGUGAACCAGUACCGUGAGGGAAAGGUGAAAAGCACCCCGGAAGGGGAGUGAAAUAGAACCUGAAACCGUGUGCUUACAAGUAGUCAGAGCCCGUUAAUGGGUGAUGGCGUGCCUUUUGUAGAAUGAACCGGCGAGUUACGAUUUGAUGCAAGGUUAAGCAGUAAAUGUGGAGCCGUAGCGAAAGCGAGUCUGAAUAGGGCGUUUAGUAUUUGGUCGUAGACCCGAAACCAGGUGAUCUACCCUUGGUCAGGUUGAAGUUCAGGUAACACUGAAUGGAGGACCGAACCGACUUACGUUGAAAAGUGAGCGGAUGAACUGAGGGUAGCGGAGAAAUUCCAAUCGAACCUGGAGAUAGCUGGUUCUCUCCGAAAUAGCUUUAGGGCUAGCCUCAAGUGAUGAUUAUUGGAGGUAGAGCACUGUUUGGACGAGGGGCCCCUCUCGGGUUACCGAAUUCAGACAAACUCCGAAUGCCAAUUAAUUUAACUUGGGAGUCAGAACAUGGGUGAUAAGGUCCGUGUUCGAAAGGGAAACAGCCCAGACCACCAGCUAAGGUCCCAAAAUAUAUGUUAAGUGGAAAAGGAUGUGGCGUUGCCCAGACAACUAGGAUGUUGGCUUAGAAGCAGCCAUCAUUUAAAGAGUGCGUAAUAGCUCACUAGUCGAGUGACACUGCGCCGAAAAUGUACCGGGGCUAAACAUAUUACCGAAGCUGUGGAUUGUCCUUUGGACAAUGGUAGGAGAGCGUUCUAAGGGCGUUGAAGCAUGAUCGUAAGGACAUGUGGAGCGCUUAGAAGUGAGAAUGCCGGUGUGAGUAGCGAAAGACGGGUGAGAAUCCCGUCCACCGAUUGACUAAGGUUUCCAGAGGAAGGCUCGUCCGCUCUGGGUUAGUCGGGUCCUAAGCUGAGGCCGACAGGCGUAGGCGAUGGAUAACAGGUUGAUAUUCCUGUACCACCUAUAAUCGUUUUAAUCGAUGGGGGGACGCAGUAGGAUAGGCGAAGCGUGCGAUUGGAUUGCACGUCUAAGCAGUAAGGCUGAGUAUUAGGCAAAUCCGGUACUCAUUAAGGCUGAGCUGUGAUGGGGAGAAGACAUUGUGUCUUCGAGUCGUUGAUUUCACACUGCCGAGAAAAGCCUCUAGAUAGAAAAUAGGUGCCCGUACCGCAAACCGACACAGGUAGUCAAGAUGAGAAUUCUAAGGUGAGCGAGCGAACUCUCGUUAAGGAACUCGGCAAAAUGACCCCGUAACUUCGGGAGAAGGGGUGCUCUUUAGGGUUAACGCCCAGAAGAGCCGCAGUGAAUAGGCCCAAGCGACUGUUUAUCAAAAACACAGGUCUCUGCUAAACCGUAAGGUGAUGUAUAGGGGCUGACGCCUGCCCGGUGCUGGAAGGUUAAGAGGAGUGGUUAGCUUCUGCGAAGCUACGAAUCGAAGCCCCAGUAAACGGCGGCCGUAACUAUAACGGUCCUAAGGUAGCGAAAUUCCUUGUCGGGU
This 1979-nucleotide ribosomal RNA is filed under the name Staphylococcus aureus. RNAcentral describes it as "bacterial LSU rRNA". It matches the Rfam family "Bacterial large subunit ribosomal RNA", at positions 1 to 1977 of the family's 2925-position model. The record is from RNAcentral. Lineage: Bacteria; Bacillati; Bacillota; Bacilli; Caryophanales; Staphylococcaceae.